CCUACGGGAGGCAGCAGUAAGGAAUAUUGGUCAAUGGGCGCAAGCCUGAACCAGCCAUGCCGCGUGCAGGAUGACGGCCCUCUGGGUUGUAAACUGCUUUUAUACGGGAAGAACAGCAUCUACGUGUAGGUGUUUGACGGUACUGUAAGAAUAAGGACCGGCUAACUUCGUGCCAGCAGCCGCGGUAAUACGAAGGGUCCAAGCGUUAUCCGGAUUUAUUGGGUUUAAAGGGUGCGUAGGCGGCUUUUUAAGUCAGUGGUGAAAGCCUGAUGCUCAACAUCAGAACUGCCAUUGAUACUGAAGAGCUUGAGUACAGUUGAGGUUGGCGGAAUGUGUCAUGUAGCGGUGAAAUGCUUAGAUAUGACACAGAACACCGAUUGCGAAGGCAGCUAGCUAAGCUGUUACUGACGCUGAUGCACGAAAGCGUGGGGAGCAAACAGGAUUAGAUACCCUGGUAGUCCACGCCCUAAACGUUGAUAACUCGUUGUUAGCGAUAUACUGUUAGCGACCAAGCGAAAGCAUUAAGUUAUCCACCUGGGAAGUACGGUCGCAAGAUUGAAACUCAAAUGAAUUGACGG
RNAcentral lists this ribosomal RNA (578 nucleotides) under uncultured bacterium. Its description in RNAcentral is "bacterial SSU rRNA". It matches the Rfam family "Bacterial small subunit ribosomal RNA", at positions 338 to 916 of the family's 1533-position model. The record is from RNAcentral.